ACAUACAGAUACAGAUACUUUAAUUGAUUGAGAGUGGAGAGAUCAUGGAGUGCAAGAAGGUUGGUUUGCUUCUCAUGGUGGCCUUGCUCGUAGUGGCCACUGUUCCUCAUUCCACGGUUGCUGCGAGGCAAGUUCCACUCUUAAACAUCAUGUUUGCUGAUGAAAUCAAUGAACGCUGUCUCCAUGAUGGCCAACGAUGCGAUAGAAAGGCUUGUUGUGCUAAUUUCGUUUGCGUACAAAAACAACAAGAUAAUGUCUGUGUACCAGAAAAAAAGGGUGAAGAAGAUGGGUGGUGAAGGUUUAAGAAACAUGGUGGGAUGCGCUGUUGUGUUUCUCGUGGUCUGUGCUUUCUUCUUCUUCUAGUUGUGUGUGCCUUUUUCUUCUUUUUUUCCCUUCAAGUGCUGUGGCUUGUUAAGUGUGGCUUUUUCAUGGCAUGUGCUUGUUAUCGCCGAUGUAUUAACUAGUAUGUGAAAUAAGAAAUAAAAAAGCGUUUGAACUAUUUCAUUAGAUAUCGCCAUGCAUGGGAGGUUCCUCUCUCGCGUUGGAUAUGGACAUAUUGUGCUGCAAAUGACUCGAGUCACGUUUUAAAUGUUUGAACUAAGCUCGUUUAAGUUGCUUAGCUUGAUAUUGAGCUUAUAAACGAAUUAGAUUUACACUUUAACAUACUUGCAAAAAUCUGCGAGAGCUUCUGCUAUUGAUCUGAUCAUCUGAUGAUAAUAACUUCUUCUCUUUUUUCUUUUUCUUUUUCUUUUUUAUAAUGAUUAAGUGUGAUAAUUUAAAGAUAGUUAUUUAGAAGAUUGUGACUUGAAUGGCCGAUAAGAAAUUAACUUGCUGGAAAAUAAAGUUAGGAACAAAAUAAAAUCAAUCUCGUUAAAAAUUAUCCAUAAAAAUAAUGGUCGUUUUCAGUACCAGAUUGUUAAGAAUUUUAAACAAAAUCCACCUGAAGCCAAAUUAUUCAUCUCCACAUAAGAGAACGGUAUCAAUAUUUUACUGUAAUAAUAAUAAUUAAAAGGAAAAAACAGAGAGAGAAGCAUAGUAAAAAGGGCACCACAACUUUAAAAACCCAAUUAAUAAUACAUGCGGAAGUUAAUAUAUAAGUCAACAAUUACAUGAAGAAAAAAUUAAUGGGCCAAAAAAGUUAUAAUUAUAAAUAUGUAAUUUUAUUUUUAAAUUUAAAUAAAUGGUGGUGGAUUUUCUAGAGCUUUACAAGCAUUUAAAUAAGCUAGAAAAAUCUAUCUCUACUAAGAAAUAAUCUAAAAACUCCUAUGAAAAUAACAAAAUUGACUCAAAUGAUAAUUUAUAGGCCUAAUUUCAAAAGAUUCAACGGCAGGGAAAAUUAUUUGUAAAAUUACUUAGAAAAUUUGAAGCUCGAUCUAAUUAUUAAACUUUUCAUUAUCUCAGUUUUAAAAUGUAUAUAUAAUUUAACAUGAUUAGAUUUACUCUUAGACCUAGACAUAUUUACUGAUACAUAACAAACAUGUAUUAAGCUAUUUACAUAGUUUUCUUGAGUCAAAUUCUCACCUCAUAGUAUACAAUUCUCACCUGAAUACUCAAAACAUUCGGUCUCUGUAAACUCGAGUGCAUCAACUACUCCCAUGUUGGUUUUCUUUGGGGGGUUUAGUUUUUAGUCUUAAUUAACUUCUUUCACCUAUUAUGUUAUGGGGAUAAUUGCACUUAGGGCAUCAAUUUUAUAUUUUUCCUCGAUUCGAGUAUAUGAAUUCUAAUUUUGUUUCAUUUUGAGCACACUGAUUUUUUUAAAAAAAUUUCAAUCUAAUGCUUCCAUUUACCUUUUAUCAAUUUUUCUGUGAUAUAUCAGUUGUCCUUCAAAAACUCUAUUGAUAUUCCGACUUUCAUUUAUGUAAAUCAAAUCCAUGAAUUUCUUUUUUAUACACCAACAUUUUUUACUGCUCCAGUCAAGUAAUUUAGUAUAUAAAAAAAAUUUCUCCACUUUCCGGUUGCACCAUCACCAGAAACCCAAUGGUCCAAUUUCAUUUCCCGCCAAAUAUUGCUAUUACAGAAAUCUCACGAACCACCAACAACCGUACCAGACAAACAUUAUUAUUAGCAAACAACAGAAGCUAGAACCAAUGUUUUCUGUCCACGGUCACUAAAAGCAAAAGGCUGACCAGUUCACUAAUUCGAUCUGUGAGUGUUAGAUCAAGAUUAUAUCUUGAAGUACUGAUCAAUGGGGCUCCUGGACUAUUCUUUUCGCCACUGGAGCUUUCGGCAUCUGGCUUGCCAAUCCAAGCAAGGCAGGUUUAUGGUCUUUUCUAGCACGUACUUCCUUCAAUCUGAAUGUUCUGUGGAUCCAAUCUCUGUUGAUUAUGCUUUGUUGUCAAAAGUAUCGGAUGCUUCAGAUCUGGUCUGAAUUCUUGUUUUUUUUUCAGGUCAGAAGGGACCAAGAUUGGAAGUGCAUUGAAGGGUGCAUCAGUGAGUGCUUCACUUGGGCUAGCAGCUAGUAGUUUGGGGAUUAUUUCUUUUGAAUCUCCUGCUUAUUCUAUGCUAUUGGAGUUUCUGUUUCCAUUGACAAUUCCACUAUUGCUGUUUAGAGCUGAUUUGCGUCGCGUGUUUACGUCUACUGGGAUAUUUCUUCUGGCUUUCUUGAUAGGAACAGGUAAAAAUCAGAUUUUUUUUUAGUAUGAAAAUCAGCUAAAAAACUAUUGGGUUUGAUUCUGAAAUGGGAAUUUGUUUGCGGGUUUUCUAUGUUAUCUGAUUAGAAGAUGGGUUUUGAGGGGUUUGUUGAUGGUUUUGUUGUGUGACAGUUGAAAAAAUAGUUAGAACAAUAUUGGCCUGUAUGAUGGUACCGAUUCUGGAUAGCGUGGCUAUAGCAGCUGCAUUUCCAACCCAGUUCAAUCUCCUUGCACCAUCUGGUGAGGCUUUGGCUAUGAUUCUGACACAGGUGAGCUGAGAUUUACAGGAUUUCUAUUUAGUUAGUUCAUUUGCGUCACCCGUUGAUCAUUGGAUCACUCAACCUGAUAGGAUUAUUAAUCACAACAGAAAAACAAAAACAACUACAUAUAAAAAAAAGUUUCACUGUAAUAGAAACAGUGCGGUUUGAAGAACUUUCGAAAUAAUCUCAAGACUACAUCAACUAUAUUUUAUAAUCCUAAAAACAUACUGCGUCAAGUAAUCACAAAAGGUCCCUAACGGCUAAAAGAGCCCCUGUGGCCCAGCAUUUUGAUAUCUGUUCUUGUUCAGGUUGCCAUUCAUCUUGUUGUGAUCCUCGGAAAGCUAUUUUGAUUCGACCAAAAGCCGUUGCUGAUUGCUUCAAAUGCUAAUAUUGGAGGCCCGACAACCGCAUCUGGAAUGGCCAAUGCUAAAGGGUGGAGUACUUCUUUGGUUGCUCCUGCCAUUAUUGCUUACAUUUUUGGAAAUUUUUUGGAAUUUUUUAUUUUCUUUGUUUUGGGAGAAACAGCUUGCUGGUGUAUUCUUAUUGUUCUUGCGCAUUAUCAUUCCCCCUUGUAUCCUUCGCCAAGAGGUGUUGCUGUUAUUAAUCACAAUAAUGAGCAUCAUUAGACCUGUGUGAGAUUAAUUGUUACUGCAAAAUUCUACCAUGUUUACAUGAAUAAUUUAAUAAUAUUCUUGUAUAAUAUUUAAUCUCUUAAUAUAUCCUUUCGUCACUGUUUUUUCUUUCUAAAAUGGUAUAAUUAAUUAUAUUUUUUUAUUAUGAAAAUCCUCUUAAGCUAUACGAGGAUUUAAAUUGGUAUAAUUUUCUUGUGGUUAAUUUCUUCCAUUUCUCUCUUUGGUAGUUUUGAUCAUUGGUACUCAGAUGUAAAUCUUGUGGUUAAAGUUGUACUGUAACUUCCAUCUUCACUUCCUCCUCCUGUCUUUGCCUCCUCUUGUCUCCCUCUGACCUCAGCAGCAACUCUUCAAUGGCUUCAAAACCUCCAUUUCUCCACUCACCGGCAGUCCCAUCACCGGAAACCCACCGGACACAUUCCAUUCCCCUCCACAAUAUUCUUACUGCCACCACCAACCCCAUCUGAUAAACAUUACUGUCAGCAAAGAACAAGAACAAGACAUCAUUUCCUUCUCCUCAAUUGAAUCCUCUAAAGACCCAAAUUUGGUUCGAUCAUCUGUUACUGUUUGGUCCAAUCUGAAUCUGAAUUUCCCUCUUAUUCCUCCUACUGGUCCAUGGGGUUACCUGGACUGCUCUCUUUGCCACUGGUGCUUUCGGGAUCUGGGAAUUCACCACCCCUUUUCUUGCUUUUUAAUUAUGAUAUUUUGGUGUUGGUCGCGAUCCUGCAAUCUGGGCCUUCGUUGAAUUCCGUUUGCAUGAAUCCGGGAUCCCACGUAUAGUUGUAAUAGCUUAGGCCCAUUGGAUGUUGCUGUUGAAAUUGGAAAGACACUUGAGAGUUGAGACCGCAUUACCAAACAAUUUUUUUAUUAUUAUUAUUAAUUUUAAAUUAAUAUAUUUUUAAUGUUUUUAAUUUAUUUUAAUAUGUUUAUAUUAAAAAUAAUUUUAAAAAAAUAAAAAAAAUAUUAUUAACAUAUAACUUAACAUAAAAUAUUAUUUAAAAAAGUCCAAGCCACGGGAAAAACAAACUCUAAAGCGCACCGGGUUUUGGAGACACUUCUCAUAGAUAAAGCAUCACCCUCAAUCAUAACCAGGUAACAAUCACAAAGGACAAUACCUUUGUAUAUUCAUAGGUUGUCGUCAUGUGAGUCUCUUCGGUUUGGCCACGUGAGCAUCUCUGCAAAAAAACCCAAACAAACAGGUUAACCCUCCAAAGAUGUAUCACUUCACUGAGAAUCUCUCUCUUAAACACCUUCCAUUAAUGGCUUCUCCAACACUAACACCUUAUCUCCCUCUCUCCCCCUCAUCAAGAAUACUGUUACACCAGUCACCCCCCUUUUCAGCCCUUCAUGACUCCCUCCACCUCACUUCUUCAAAAUCUACACCUUUAUCUUCUACAAUACAAGGCCUCACAAGAGCUGCAAACCAAUUCAAUCAGUAAAAGUUUGUUCGCAGUUGAGGUAUCCCAUCAUUUCUCCAGAUGACCAUUGGGGCACCUGGACUGCCCUCUUUGCUACAGGGGCUUUUGGUAUCUGGUAAUUAACUAACUUGCUUCUGUGUCACAUAUUUCAUGUCUGUUUAUCACAGUUGUUGAUGGCGUGGUCACGUGGGCCCUAAACUAAGGACCCACCUUAGAGAAGAUUGUCACGGUUGUGUGAGUUAGACUAAUGUUGUUCUUGGAUUGGUAAAAAUGAACAUUAAUGGUGGGUUUUGAUUGUUUUUGAAGGUCUGAGAGGACAAAAAUUGGGAGUAUGCUGAGUGCGGCCUUGGUGAGCAUAUUGGUUGGACUUGCAGCUAGUAAUGUAGGAAUCAUUCCUUAUGAAGCAAGAGCAUAUUCAGUUGUGUUGGAGUAUCUGCUACCCCUAACUAUUCCUCUGCUGUUGUUCAGAGCUGACUUGCGGAAUGUGUUUAGAUCAACUGGGACUUUGCUCUUAGCUUUCUUGCUUGGUUCAGGUUUGUUUUUCCUCUUAACUAUGUGUAAUUGUAUUCAAAUUUCUCAAUCAAGCGUCAUUUCCUGUAUAUAUCAUGUAAAUUUAUCUCCUAAGGUACCUAAAUAGUUUUGCUUAUACACAGAAAGAAUAGGAUUUUCGUAUUGAGAUUUGAAGUUUAGAAUGUUAAGGAUUAGGUGUGGUUGUUACUGGAGGCAACAUCAUGAAUCCAGGGUCAAAAUGUAUGAGAUUUAUGUGAAGAAUGAUCAGUCUUAGUUUCAUCAAAUCAAAGAGUCUAAUACGUAUCAUCUUGGAUGUAAUCAAGGUUAGCUGAUGGAAGCAGUAGGAUCCUAGUGUUUGACUGAAGGUGCCCAUGUGUUCAAACAUCAUAACUGAGAAGAAGAUUGUGAGAGAGUAAUUAUUGUCAGUUCAUGUAAGUUCCUCCAUGUCCAUGUGAUUUUUUCUUUUAAUCUAAAAUCAAUUCGCUUUUAAUUUUAUGGUAGAGUCCGUGUGUGAAUCAUUGUAUGAUGACUGGCAUCUUGUAAGGAGCUAGCGCUGCAUAUCUCAACUCUACAGUCUGUCGUGGCAUGUGAUGUUUUACCAGCAUCCGCUGCUUUAUAGCCCACGGCAUGCAACUGAACCAAAACUGAAUGGUCUUUGCUGAACAAGACAUCGAUUUUGUUUCAAUUAUGAAAUUCUUCCCGUUGGCUGAAUGUCUUCAGCUUGCUGUCGAGCCAUAUGUUGUCCUAGCAUGUAUCAAGGUGCUAAGUAACUUCUGCUAAUUACAGAUUUAUCAACUGGUGAAAAUGUAAUUUGUGUUCAAAUAAUUCCUUCCGUGUGGUCCUGUGAAAUUUACCGCUGUCUCAUAAGUGCCGUUACUCCCAAUGCUCUGCUGUCUUCAGACUCUCUGUACAUUGCUUAUGUGGAUAUUGAAUGGAAACGUGUGAAUGUAACUUUGGCUAUUAAGCUCUAUAUAUUUUCAUUUUCUUUCUGUCUUUUUAUGCUCUAAUUUCCUUUGAUUUUUGGUAACUUCAUUCUUCCAUUUUACAGUUGCAACUGUGAUUGGAACUUUAGUUGCCUUUCUGAUGGUGCCUAUGCGAUCACUUGGCCAAGAUAAUUGGAAAAUAGCUUCUGCUCUCAUGGGGAGUUAUAUUGGUGGAUGUAAGUUGUUGCAUCUUCAUAAUUGGCCUGCUGAUCAUACUGCUGUGCUGCCUGCUUAUUUUGAUUGUACAUUGUUUCCUUUGUCAUUGUAGCUGUUAAUUAUGUUGCGGUUACAGAGGCACUUGCUGCUUCUCCAUCAGUUGUGGCUGCAGGAGUUGCCGCGGACAAUGUAAUCUGUGCUAUAUACUUCAUGGUAUUAUUUGGAUUAGCCUCUAAAAUACCUCCUGAGGUUUCAACCUCAACUAAAGGUAUGUAGUAACUUCUCACCUAAUUUCUUGGAACAGUCUUUAACUGUUUAUUAAGGAAACAAAAUGGCACAACCAAAUGGACAUGUUUUAUUGAUGGUUAAAAGAGUUCCUAAUCAUACCAGAACCUGACACUUUGGCAGGUGCUGAAGUGGAUUUGUCAUCCAAUUCAGAAGGCAAAGUCCCUGUGCUACAGACUGCUGCUGCACUUUCUAUCUCCUUUAUGAUAUGUAAGAUUGGCACGUAUCUCACGCAACUUUGCAAGAUUCAAGGAGGUACUCUGCCAGCAGUAACAGCUAUUGUUGUCUUUUUAGCAACAUUAUUUCCAGCACAAUUUGGUUAUCUUGCUCCUGCUGGCGAUACUCUUGCUAUGGUUCUGAUGCAGGUAAAAAACGUUGUAUCUAGUUUUGUUUAUUGGUGCCUUAUAAGUGUCACUUUCAAGAGCUUGCCCCUUAAUAUCUUUGUUGUUUCUGUACUUAAGCUGCUUUUUUUGUUGAUUCCAGGCUCCUAAUAAUUACCCCUUAUAGAUUGAUCAAGGUGUUAUCUUUUUCUUGGAUAUUUUCUCGUAGAUGAUUUUUUAAAUGAUUUGUAUGCACAUAGGAUAAAGCAUGCUCAUAAAGUGAAAGAAAGAAAGUCAUAGCUCUAUAGGAGUUUUGAGGCUAUGAAGGGCAAGGGUAGAAAGAAAUACAUUGCCUCUUGGUUUCAUUUUGGACAUAAAAAAAUAUGGCAUGCGUGUGUAAAGUUGCAAAUUGUUUAAGGAUAACCUUUAAGUCAAUGACUCUAAACUGGUUAUUAAUAUUGUUGAAGAAACACCACUCAAUUUUCUUAUCUGAAAUUGCUGUCUGUUGUCGAUAGCAUUGACCUCUUGUUCUUUUAUCUCAAAAAUGUGCCGCCCUUGAGUUUCUGAAUGCUUAAUAAUCCCCACUUACCUGUAUCUGAAAAUUUGAACUUGACAUUACUGUUGAAGGAUUCCAAUUUCCAGCGAUAAGCACAGGAUAUCUCACUUUUGUACAUUGGCUGCUUUUUCCAACAGGUAUUUUUUGCUGUAGUUGGUGCUGGUGGGAGCAUAUGGAAUGUCAUCAACACAGCACCAAGUAUAUUCUUAUUUGCUCUAGUUCAAGUAACUGUUCAUCUUGCUGUGAUUCUUGGAUUUGGAAAGCUGUUGCGCUUUGACUUAAAGCUAUUACUUCUAGCAUCGAAUGCCAACAUCGGAGGCCCUACGACAGCAUGUGGAAUGGCCACAGCCAAAGGAUGGGGUUCUCUGGUAGUUCCUGGAAUUCUUGCAGGCAUUUUUGACAGAUAGAAUGCAGGAUCUUGUUGUUGAAGUAACUGGAAAAAAAGAGAUAUAAACAGAGAAGGAUGCAGAUAAGAAGAUUUCAAGGAAAAAUAUAUCAGUCAUGCAUUUCCAUGCUCUGAUACCAUGAUACGAAUUGAGUUUUACUCUUCGAAGUUAUUCACAUUCUUUGUAUAUUGAAUUCAUGAUAAUAAUCCAUCAAUUACAUCUGCCUUUUAUAAAGCAGUAGGCAGUAAAAAGCUAUUAUAGAAAGUAAAGCUAUUAAUGGAAAGGCUCCUAUAAUUCCGGCUAUAAUUUCGGUCUGUUACAAACAGAUAUAAAUAUAUUAUGUAUAGCUAAUAGUAAAAUAAAACUAAUAUAAUAUUUAACAACUUUGACCUUUAUAUUAUAACCUUCAAACCAACUAGGAUUCUAAUUAACUAACCUAACUAGUAGAUUACACAUUUCUAGGAUAGAAAAUACAAGUAGUAUAUAUAUGCAAACUAGAAAUAUCUUUUCCUCCUAAUCAUCUCCUCUCAUUGUUAGCUAAACUGCUAGCUCACUUUCUAUUUUAUUAUUAUUUUUUUUAAUCCUAGCCAUGGGUGCUUACUGCUCUAUUUCUAUGUUAUCUACUAGUCAAGGGGCCGAGUAGCGACGGUGGAGUGGCAACAUGAUUAAAGAAUCCUUGAUUUGAAUGGUCUAAUUCAAAAGGUUGCUAGACUAAAACAUAAAACUUUUUUAAAAGUAUAGGGUGGCAUGGCCCAAAGGCUCUUCCAGAGAGCUCUGCUUUGGCUCGUCUAAAUAAUAAUUUUAAGAUGAAUUUAUGAUCAAUGGCUACGAUAUAUCUAGCUAGCUUGAGUGCUUCACACAAAAUUUCCCAUAAAAAAUGAUAACCACUUUUCUUCUAUUGUUUGAAUAAAACUCAAAUAAAGGUUUACGAGGAUUAGAUUUAAGGGUAAAUUUAAUUGUUAAUUAAUAGGGUAAUCAAUAUUACCCCCAUUUCCAGAAAAAAAUUCUAAUCGUUUAAUUAUAUAUCAUCCACAGUGAGACAAUAUUUGAAUCUUUUAAAUUCUUUAGAGACUUAUGGCAUGGAAGUAAUCUUUUUAAUUCAUUAGAGACUUCUGGCAUGAAAGCAAUGUUCUAGUUUUUUUUUUUUUAGGAAAAAAAACUUUAUUUUUUUAUUGUUUUGAAAUGUUUUGUACAUUAGUUGGAUAUUUUUUUUAUUUUUUUCUUUCUUGACUUGAUUUUGUGUAGAAAAUAAAAGUAUUUAUUAUGACUUAUCUUGACCAUAUUACUCGGUUAUUUAUUUACCAAAGAAUCCUCUCAACUUAGAAAAUUAAAAUAUUAAGUGCAGAUUUCAUAAUUUUAAUCUAAUCUUCGGCGUAUCCCUUAAAGUAAAGAUUUAAAAAUUGGUCAAACCCAUCCUUGCUUGGUAUUAAUUUGCAUGAUAGGAAGGAUUCGUGAUUAAUAAAACUUUUAUAUCAUAUUAAAUAAUUAUUUGAAUAAAAAAAUUAAAUUAUUAAGAAGGUUUUUGAAAAUGAUUUUAUAUUAUAUAUUAAUAAUUCGGAAUCGAAUUAUAUGAUAUUGAAAAGAUGGAAUACUUGUACAGGACAGGCUUGCAAUCAUCAAUGAAAAGGUCUACCUUUCAGCUCUUUAUAAAGGUAUUCAAUAACACCAACUCUAAAAAGAUGAUAAAGGACGUCACUAACGAGAUAAUGUUCGUCCCCUUGGGUGGAUUGAUGGCCAACUUACUAUUCAAGAGCUUGCCUCAAACUAAAAAAAAAAAAAAACUUUCGUUCAUAGAAGACGCGCUCGCGCUGCUCACCUUGUGUGUUGGCUCUGUCGAAACUGGAGGAGCCACUGCUGCAGCAUGCUACCCCCGGCAAAGGAAAGGCCUGCCGCGAGGGGGGCGGCCGAUGCUAGACGGUAUAUAUAUGCUCUCGUGCUGCUCACCUCGGGCGUUGGCUCUGUCGAAACUGGCGGAGCCAGCGCUGCGGCAUGCUACGUACCCCCGGCAAAGGAAAGGCCCGCCGUGAGGGGGUUGGCCGAUGCUAGUAUAUUUAAAAAUAAUAUAAAUAAUAUUUUAGAUUGAAACUUAAUUAAUAGUACUGUAAGAUUAAUGACAAAUACAGGUUAUUAUAAGUGAAACAAUACUCGUUAUUAUAUUAAUCUAAUAUGUAAAUUCUAUUGGAAAAGGAUAUAUAAUUAUAAUACCAACGAUUGUAAAUUUUCCUACCCAUGCUUACUUGAAACUACUAACAAAAGGGACCGCCAAAGAAAUGCUCUUGCUACGUACCCACUACAGCCAAUUAGCGAUGGCAAUGGCAUCAUGAUUUUUUUAUAUAUAAUUAUCUCGCACGAGUAAUGAAUAACUAUCGAUUUCGAAUUAAAUUAUCACUAUUGUGGCCAAUUAUUGAAUAUCUAGAAGGGUGUUCGACAAUUAUUGAUCUAGAAGGGUGUUCAUUUUUCACGAGCAGAUGGUUGGAUCGAAGAAGACGAGCUCUGAUUGACAACCAAUCGCAAGACAGUAUACAGCACACUUUAUAAAAGAUGUUUGUGACCCUCCACUGACUUGUGAUCCCUCGAUCGUGCAUUGUUGAUGGACAGCGUAAGCAGCCUUGGCCAUGGACAUUAACGACAAGUAAAAGAAAUGGGAAGGGAGGAGAGGAGAGGGGAGGAGGUUUUCAGCUGGUUAGGAAAAUAGAGAACAAGUUCUGACGAAUUUACUAAAAGACUUAAAGAGAGGAAAGUUCGUGAAGAUUUUCAAGGAUGGGUGGAUAAAUUAAAUUGCUAUUAAAAUAGGGGAUGAUCUAUCAAAUUUACUAUUGAUAUUAUGUUAAUGUUAUGAAAUAUAAUUAAUCAUCUAAUAAAUUUAGCUCUUACGUGGAUUUUUUUAAUUUUUUUUUUAAUGAUAUGAGAGGAUUUUGAGUUUUAUAGUUCCUAAACGUGCUUAAUUAUAUUUUUAUUUUCUUAAUCAAAACUUUAAAAAAAAAAACAGUUGAAAUCAAUUUGUAAAAAUGUCUUGAAAUAUUCCUCUAAAUGUAAAUGGCGAUAAUGUUCCAUCACAUGCAAUCUUGCUUGCAAUUGUUAUUAUUAUUAGUGGAAAGCUAUAUUUACUCGGUAUCCUCGUAUAAUUCCAAUAAAUACAAGUGAGGUUGGCUAACGACGUUGUUAAAUUCAUUUUUUAAGUGUUUUUUAAAUUAUUUUUUAUUGUAAAUCAAUUAAAUUGAUAUAUUUAGAUUUUUUUUAUGAUUUUAAUAUAUAUCCUUAUAUCUAAAAUAAAAAAAACUAAAAAAUAUCAUUUUAAUUAAAAGAUACUUUAACAAAAACACCAUGCAUGCAUAACUAAACACACUUAUAUUCUAACAAAAAUGUUCAUGUAGUAUUGUUUUACAUGAUAGAUAAUUAUUAAAACAAAUUAAAGGGCCUAGGGUUUCACUAUAGAACAAAACUUAUUAUAUUAUAGAUUGUAAUUUUUUUACCCUUCAUGUAGACCUCUAAGAAAUAACAAAAUUAAUGAAAUUUUUUUUUUUCACAUCGUUCAAUUUGUGUGUUUCAAAUUGAAUUGAUUAAAUUAUUCUUUUUAUAUUUUUAUUGUGUAAUGAAAUUUCUAAUUUACUCUUAGAAUAAAAAAUGAAUUACAUAGCUAAUAAAGGCCUUAUGGUCUUUUCAUUUUUUUAAAUGACUUAAAGAAUAAAAUACAUACUCUUUAAUUUGUAUUUAUUUUAUUUUUAGCACUCAUUAUUUUGAUUGCUAUUCAUAUUGAUUUUUAUGCUUUUUAAGUUUAUUUUUUCAAUUUCAUCCCUGUUUAUUUUAUUUCAUUUGUUUUUUGUUUCCAAAUGAGUCCUUAUUCUUUUAUAUAUUGUUGUUUUUUAUCCUCUUAUUAUUAUUAUUUUUAUUUUUCCACCCAACAUUUUAUUUUAUUUUUGCAUCCAAUUUUGGUCAUCAUUUUUUUAUUGUAAAUUUCAUUUUUUUUAUUUUUUAUUUUUUUUGUUUUUCAAUUUAUUUCCUAAUUAUUUUCUUUCAAUUAGUUUUCAUAUCAAAUUUGACCCCUCAUUGUUUUUAUUGCUAUUUGUUUGGCUUUUUAAUUUUUAUGUUUAGGAAUUUUAUUUCGUUAUUUUUUCAUGUUUGCCUGCUACGUGUUAAUCUUGGUCUCAUGACUUGAGUAAUUGGUUUUGAAUAUUAGCCCAGUUUAAAUUUGGUCUUCUUUUAGGUUUUUUUUUUUAUGAAUUGAUUUUUUUAUUAUUUUUAUUUUCAUUUUUUGAUAUUGGAUUCUUGGAAUUGAACUUCGUGAUUUGUCCUGUUUUUUUUUUUUAUGGGGUUAUCCUUAUCUCAUGUCUCGGGUAAUAGGUUUUGAUUUAACUUAUGUUGACUCAGAUUUUUCUCUCAAUAUUUUCUUUAAAAUUGAUUUUUUUAACUUUCAUACUUUGACAUUAAAUUAUUGAUCAUUGAGUUAUGUAGUUUUUUCACUUUUUUUUCUAUGAAGUUAUCUAGGGUUAAAAUUAGUCAAGUUAACCUGGAUAUACUUGAAUUUUUUUUAUUUAUGAUUUUUUAAAUUUAUUUAACUUUGAUUUUUUUUUUUAAUUUUAAUUUUUUUAUCUUAAUCUCAUUUCAUGUUUAGCGGGUUAUUUAAAUGUAUCUGGGUUGACUAAUGUGUUUUUUUUGUUUUUUUUUAAAUUGAUAUUUUUAAAUUUUAUUAUUUGAUAUUAAAUUAUUGAAUCUUGUCUUGUGUUUUCUGGUUUUUCCCACUUUUUUUUUUUUUGCUCUUAUCUCAAUAUUUUAUCCCAGAUUGCUUAUUAAUAAUAUUAUCUCGGGCUGAUUCAUAAUAUCAUCACAUGAAUAUUUCUUUUAUGUUGAAAUAAAUUUGACUUGGCCCUCAGCAUGACUUUUCUAGUGAGAAGCCAAAGAUGUGGUCUUUUUCCCACCACAAGUGACCUUGCAAUUAUUAAUGAGAAAGAUAGGGUCUUUGCAUGAUUCCAACCACUAUAAAACGCAGGCUCUCCAAGAGGUAUCAUCCAUGCAAUAAUAUAUAACUACAUACAGAUACAGAUACUUUAAUUGAUUGAGAGUGGAGAGAUCAUGGAGUGCAAGAAGGUUGGUUUGCUUCUCAUGGUGGCCUUGCUCGUAGUGGCCACUGUUCCUCAUUCCACGGUUGCUGCGAGGCAAGUUCCACUCUUAAACAUCAUGUUUGCUGAUGAAAUCAAUGAACGCUGUCUCCAUGAUGGCCAACGAUGCGAUAGAAAGGCUUGUUGUGCUAAUUUCGUUUGCGUACAAAAACAACAAGAUAAUGUCUGUGUACCAGAAAAAAAGGGUGAAGAAGAUGGGUGGUGAAGGUUUAAGAAACAUGGUGGGAUGCGCUGUUGUGUUUCUCGUGGUCUGUGCUUUCUUCUUCUUCUAGUUGUGUGUGCCUUUUUUCUUCUUUUUUUCCCUUCAAGUGCUGUGGCUUGUUAAGUGUGGGCUUUUUCAUGGCAUGUGCUUGUUAUCGCCGAUGUAUUAACUAGCUAUGUGUGAAAUAAGAAAUAAAAAAGC
This 13653-nucleotide long non-coding RNA is filed under the name Populus tremula. RNAcentral's name for it is "long non-coding RNA (PTRE_LNC001298)". The record is from RNAcentral. Lineage: Eukaryota; Viridiplantae; Streptophyta; Magnoliopsida; Malpighiales; Salicaceae.